Long non-coding RNA from Macrobrachium nipponense, 961 nucleotides. RefSeq lists it as uncharacterized. The transcript is spliced from 4 exons. NCBI's taxonomy places the organism in Eukaryota, Metazoa, Arthropoda, Malacostraca, Decapoda, Palaemonidae. The record is from RefSeq and is a predicted model, not a curated record.
CUCAAACCAAGAUGGCGGUGGUGAUGGUGGUGAUCUGUCAAAGUCGAAGUGUUUAUCUCGUCAUUUUAGUGAUUUCCAACGAAAUGUGACGCCUUUUACAACCGUUCUAUUGAAGGAUGCUUGAUCUCGCAAAUUGUAGAAGGUUGGAGACUAUGGAAUGACGGAGAAUCCUGUAACAUUUGAGACUUCGUGUAGAGGAGAGUGAACCGUUACCUACAAGAUUGUAUUGUAGUUGAGAGAUGGUCAGGUUGGAAGAUGGUGCAGAAUAGUACACCGAUGUGUAUAUGAUUAGAAUUGUAAUCAUUACAAAAUGCUGCUUACCUGAUAGUGGAUUCUUGUUAGAUAAUGUGCUUGGAAGGAAAAUACUUCGAUUUAAAUCAACAUAUCACUUCGCCUUGAAACGUCACUGAAGCUAAACUUGGAUUUUUCAAAGAAAUAAACACGGCCUAAGAAUUUGGACAAGUCCAUUAGCUACAACUGGAUUCUAUUGAGCAGGUUGUUCUUAUUCGGUGGUCCCUCUCUAGCUAGUGAUGAUGUCCUACCAGAAUUACCAGUCAAGUUUCCUUUGUAGAAUAACAAAGGAAAGGAGUGUUGAUGUUCCUGAAACUAGAGAUCACUGAUCUCGCCAGAAUAGUAGACUACAUGGAAGAGGUUCGGUAUAGAAGAUUACCCGCUAUAUUGGAAGGUUCAAGGCAUUGACUACAGUAACUGAUGUCUUCAAGACAGCGAGAUCUCUCAGAAUUAUAAGACAUGGCAGGUUCAAUAGGAUAUUGUGAGUUGAGAAGUGUAUACCAGAUAAGAGGGGUAAUGUUGACAAUUCAACGCCUUUACGAAAAUUAUAUAUGCAACCGGUCUGUAUUGCAGAGGAGUCUUCCGUAGAAGAGAACUGUGGUACUCUGUAUUUAAUAAGUAUCUUAAAAUGGUAUGAAAAAUAUUUUAACCAUAAAUUGGACUUUUAGCC